RNAcentral lists this long non-coding RNA (461 nucleotides) under Vitis vinifera (wine grape). Its description in RNAcentral is "long non-coding RNA (VVIN_LNC000068)". Lineage: Eukaryota; Viridiplantae; Streptophyta; Magnoliopsida; Vitales; Vitaceae. The record is from RNAcentral.
UUGAAGAUGUACAGAGACAAAUGGCAGGUCUCAGUUUCCAGGAUGGUAAGAACACUGGUGCUUACAACUACCCUUCUGUGAGUCAACCCCAUCAAACUCAGAGAGCCACUUCUCAGCAGCAAACAGAACCUGUGAACAUGACUCAUCCUUCUCGCCCCCAAGCACCUUAUUACCAGCCGCCACCUCCUGAGCAGCCGACAAUGCCAGGAUAUGCUCACUCCCUCCCUCCUUAUGGCUCUACACAGCAGCCACCACCUCCUUACCAUGUUGCAGGUGGCCCAUACCAUCCCCAACAGGCCCAACAGCCACCACCUAGCCAUGAGUAUGGCCAACCUGCUUAUCCAGGGUGGCGAGGUCCAUACUAUAAUAAUGCUCAUGCACAGCAACCUGGAUCUCUUCCUCGUCCUCCUUACACCAUUCCAGCCCCUUAUCCUCCUCACCACCAAAGCGGCUACUACAAG